CUACGGGGUGCAGCAGUGAGGAAUUUUGCGCAAUGGGGGAAACCCUGACGCAGCAACGCCGCGUGAGUGAAGAAGGCUUUCGGGUCGUAAAGCUCUGUCAGAUAGGAAAAAAGUUCAUAUGUAAAUAGCUUAUGAAUCUGAUGGUACUAUCAGAGGAAGCACCGGCUAACUCCGUGCCAGCAGCCGCGGUAAUACGGAGGGUGCAAGCGUUGUUCGGAAUUACUGGGCGUAAAGGGCGUGUAGGCGGUAUGGUAAGUCAGAUGUGAAAGCCCUGGGCUUAACUCAGGAAGUGCAUUUGAUACUGCCGUCCUUGAGUAUGGGAGAGGAGAGUAGAAUUCCCAGUGUAGAGGUGAAAUUCGUAGAUAUUGGGAGGAAUACCCGUGGCGAAGGCGACUCUCUGGACCAAUACUGACGCUGAGACGCGAAAGCGUGGGGAGCAAACAGGAUUAGAUACCCGCGUAGUC
This 464-nucleotide ribosomal RNA is filed under the name uncultured bacterium. Its description in RNAcentral is "partial 16S ribosomal RNA". It matches the Rfam family "Bacterial small subunit ribosomal RNA", at positions 339 to 795 of the family's 1533-position model. The record is from RNAcentral.